RNAcentral lists this long non-coding RNA (203 nucleotides) under Ananas comosus (pineapple). RNAcentral's name for it is "long non-coding RNA (ACOM_LNC005738)". Lineage: Eukaryota; Viridiplantae; Streptophyta; Magnoliopsida; Poales; Bromeliaceae. The record is from RNAcentral.
AUAAAAAUUAGUAACAUAAUAUUUAUUUUAGUCACUGACCGUCCCUACAGCAAGUGGUAAAGGACUUGGUGGUUGGUACCUGAGACCCAAGUUCUAAUCCUAUUUGAUUCAUAUUUCCAGCUAAAUUUACUUCUAAAUAAAAUAAACGAAGCGGUAGCGUGCUACCUAUCUCUCAAAAAAAAAAAAAUUUUAUUUUAGUCUUU